AUUGAACGCUGGCGGCAUGCCUUACACAUGCAAGUCGAACGGCAGCACGGGGCAACCUGGUGGCGAGUGGCGAACGGGUGAGUAAUGUAUCGGAACGUACCUUUCAGUGGGGGAUAACGUAGCGAAAGUUACGCUAAUACCGCAUAUUCUGUGAGCAGGAAAGCAGGGGAUCGCAAGACCUUGCGCUGAUUGAGCGGCCGAUAUCAGAUUAGCUAGUUGGUGAGGUAAAGGCUCACCAAGGCGACGAUCUGUAGCGGGUCUGAGAGGAUGAUCCGCCACACUGGAACUGAGACACGGUCCAGACACCUACGGGUGGCAGCAGUAGGGAAUAUUGCGCAAUGGGCGAAAGCCUGACGCAGCGAUGCCGCGUGAGUGACGAAGGUCUUAGGAUUGUAAAGCUCUUUUCUGAGGGAAGAAUAGGUCUGGUAGGAAAUGACUGGAUUCUGACGGUACCUCAGGAAUAAGGAACGGCUAACUCCGG
Molecule: ribosomal RNA, 481 nt
Filed under: uncultured bacterium
Lineage: Bacteria
Description: bacterial SSU rRNA
Rfam family: Bacterial small subunit ribosomal RNA
Source: RNAcentral